AGCUGUGUGAUGCAGUGUGGGAACUUGCUGGCAGUGAGGAGUCACAAGUCAUUCAAGUAAAAAUUCAGUCUGAAUCACUGUGCAAUGUGGGUGACAAUUCAUAGAGACUAUAGCACAGUGGCUUGUGACAGCUAAACGGCUGACUGUAGAGGAGAAGGUGGUCUCCGUUCCACACUGCGCAGUGGCGGGAGGUCUUCUCAUGGCAAUUAACGGCUCUGUGCUCCAGUUCACAGCCCAUCUCUCGGCUCUAAUUAGAGUACACACAUGCAGGAACGCUGCAGUAUUUCCAGCCUCCAAGCUGUGUCCGCCAAGCAUCAUUUCACCUCGCUGCAGAGAGGAGUGACAGUUGGCUGCAGAAGAGCCUCGAGCAAGGCACACUCUGGCAAGAUUUUGUGCCUCUCCGUUGGACUGCUCCAUCUGAGCCAGAAAAUAUGUUAUACUAGCUGAAGGGGGGUGAGAAGAAAUGACCACGGGGCUUGAGAGAAAGUAAAAGACAGAUGAAACAUGUAGGAUGUAAUAUGAUAAAGGUUACCAGUACAACAAAUGUUUUUGAGUUUUCCUGCUUGUUGUGGAUAAAAUGUUAGGAAAACAGUCAAUUAUUGAAGAUCACUGUGAUGCAAUCAGUCUCACCGCUGCACAAGCUAAGUCAGCUUUGGUGUGACUGGACCAAUCCAGGAAGAGGUCAAUGUCGAAUACAGCGAAGUUGAAGAAAUCUCAAACUCAGUCCUUUAGAGAACGACUGUCGAGGUCAACAAAGAGCAGAAAAAUCAGUGAGGCUUGUCAGGGAGCACUAUUCCUCUCUAAGUAGUUCUCCAGGCAUAUUUGCAAUUGUGUAAAUUAGAAGUGCUUAAAGAUACCUCCCCUGAUUUUGUGGUAUUA
Molecule: long non-coding RNA, 879 nt
Organism: Chelmon rostratus (copperband butterflyfish)
Lineage: Eukaryota; Metazoa; Chordata; Actinopteri; Chaetodontiformes; Chaetodontidae
Exons: 3
Source: RefSeq, a predicted model, not a curated record